GGAGAGGUCGGAUAGUCUGGCUUAUUCCACCGCUUUCGAAAAGCGGCAGGCCCUAACGGGUCUCGUGGGUUCAAAUCCCACCCUCUCCG
Molecule: transfer RNA, 89 nt
Filed under: bacterium
Lineage: Bacteria
Description: tRNA-Ser
Rfam family: tRNA
About the family: Transfer RNA (tRNA) molecules are approximately 80 nucleotides in length. Their secondary structure includes four short double-helical elements and three loops (D, anti-codon, and T loops). Further hydrogen bonds mediate the characteristic L-shaped molecular structure. tRNAs have two regions of fundamental functional importance: the anti-codon, which is responsible for specific mRNA codon recognition, and the 3' end, to which the tRNAs corresponding amino acid is attached (by aminoacyl-tRNA synthetases). tRNAs cope with the degeneracy of the genetic code in two manners: having more than one tRNA (with a specific anti-codon) for a particular amino acid; and 'wobble' base-pairing, i.e. permitting non-standard base-pairing at the 3rd anti-codon position.
Source: RNAcentral